GACGAACGCUGGCGGCGUGCUUAACACAUGCCAGUCGAACGGAAAGGCCCUGCUUUUGUGGGGUGCUCGAGUGGCGAACGGGUGAGUAACACGUGAGUAACCUGCCCUUGACUUUGGUAUAACUUCAGGAAACUGGGGCUAAUACCGGAUAGGAGCUCCUGCUGCAUGGUGGGGGUUGGAAAGUUUCGGCGGUUGGGGAUGGACUCGCGGCUUAUCAGCUUGUUGGUGGGGUAGUGGCUUACCAAGGCUUUGACGGGUAGCCGGCCUGAGAGGGUGACCGGCCACAUUGGGACUGAGAUACGGCCCAGACUCCUACGGGAGGCAGCAGUGGGGAAUAUUGCACAAUGGGCGGAAGCCUGAUGCAGCAACGCCGCGUGCGGGAUGACGGCCUUCGGGUUGUAAACCGCUUUCGCCUGUGACGAAGCGUGAGUGACGGUAAUGGGUAAAGAAGCACCGGCUAACUACGUG
RNAcentral lists this ribosomal RNA (468 nucleotides) under uncultured bacterium. RNAcentral's name for it is "partial 16S ribosomal RNA". It matches the Rfam family "Bacterial small subunit ribosomal RNA", at positions 28 to 507 of the family's 1533-position model. The record is from RNAcentral.